UGAGAGCAGAGUUUGCUUCAGGAGGGUUGUUGUGCUCAUGAAGCACAGAAAUUCUCUUGCUUCUGUGUGUUUGAACGGUCAGAAACAUUCUGCCAAUGAAAGGCUGCUACAAGAUCACAUGAGGAAACAUGGUGUUGAUCAUCGGGACUCCAGGUGUUGAUCAUCAGGAAUCCAGGUAUUGAUCAUCGGGACUCCAGGUGUUGACCAUUGGGAAUCCAGGUGUUCACCAUCGGGACUCCAGGUGUUGAUCAUCGGGUGCUGAUCAUCGCACAUACGGCCCAAGAUGGAUCUCAUGGAAAUCCUCAGACAGACCCAUGUGAGUGCAGCCUUCCCAUAAAAUCUCAUCAGGGAUUCACUUACUCUGGACACUGAAUUAUUCCUCCUCAUCACC
This is a non-coding RNA of Lonchura striata (white-rumped munia), 391 nucleotides long. The record is from RefSeq and is a predicted model, not a curated record. Lineage: Eukaryota; Metazoa; Chordata; Aves; Passeriformes; Estrildidae.